RNAcentral lists this ribosomal RNA (497 nucleotides) under uncultured bacterium. RNAcentral's name for it is "partial 16S ribosomal RNA". It matches the Rfam family "Bacterial small subunit ribosomal RNA", at positions 28 to 507 of the family's 1533-position model. The record is from RNAcentral.
GAUGAACGCUGGCGGCGUGCCUAAUACAUGCAAGUCGAGCGAACAGAUGAGGAGCUUGCUCCUCUGACGUUAGCGGCGGACGGGUGAGUAACACGUGGAUAACCUACCUAUAAGACUGGGAUAACUUCGGGAAACCGGAGCUAAUACCGGAUAAUAUAUUGAACCGCAUGGUUCAAUAGUGAAAGACGGUUUUGCUGUCACUUAUAGAUGGAUCCGCGCCGCAUUAGCUAGUUGGUAAGGUAAAGGCUUACCAAGGCAACGAUGCGUAGCCGACCUGAGAGGGUGAUCGGCCACACUGGAACUGAGACACGGUCCAGACUCCUACGGGAGGCAGCAGUAGGGAAUCUUCCGCAAUGGGCGAAAGCCUGACGGAGCAACGCCGCGGGAGGGAUGAAGGUCUUCGGAUCGUAAAACUCUGUUAUUAGGGAAGAACAAAUGUGUAAGUAACUAUGCACGUCUUGACGGUACCUAAUCAGAAAGCCACGGCUAACUACGUG